Molecule: non-coding RNA, 208 nt
Organism: Pelobates cultripes (western spadefoot toad)
Lineage: Eukaryota; Metazoa; Chordata; Amphibia; Anura; Pelobatidae
Source: the annotation of a GenBank genome assembly
CCACCCUUCCGGUUCAGGAGAGCCCAAAAACAUUUCUUGCACCAGGACCUUUGCUACAUAAUAUCCAACACUGAGCAGGAGUGAGGCAGCUCUGUGACACAUGGAAUAGUUUUUUACCCAGAAAAACAGGAAAUUCUGUAUUUACUACUUUGACAGCAGUUAUAUCUUAAAGGGACACUAUAAUAACCAAAACCAUAGCUUAUGUAGU